RNAcentral lists this ribosomal RNA (896 nucleotides) under Colletotrichum gloeosporioides. RNAcentral describes it as "LSU rRNA". It matches the Rfam family "Eukaryotic large subunit ribosomal RNA", at positions 35 to 962 of the family's 3401-position model. Lineage: Eukaryota; Fungi; Ascomycota; Sordariomycetes; Glomerellales; Glomerellaceae. The record is from RNAcentral.
GAAGCAUAUCAAUAAGCGGAGGAAAAGAAACCAACAGGGAUUGCCUCAGUAACGGCGAGUGAAGCGGCAACAGCUCAAAUUUGAAAUCUGGCCCUAGGCCCGAGUUGUAAUUUGCAGAGGAUGCUUUUGGUGCGGUGCCUUCCAAGUUCCCUAGAACGGGACGCCAGAGAGGGUGAGAGCCCCGUACAGUUGGACACCAAGCCUUUGUAAAGCUCCUUCGACGAGUCGAGUAGUUUGGGAAUGCUGCUCAAAAUGGGAGGUAUAUUUCUUCUAAAGCUAAAUACCGGCCAGAGACCGAUAGCGCACAAGUAGAGUGAUCGAAAGAUGAAAAGCACUUUGAAAAGAGGGUUAAACAGCACGUGAAAUUGUUAAAAGGGAAGCGCUUGUGACCAGACUUGCGUCCGGUGAAUCACCCAGCUCUCGCGGCUGGGGCACUUCGCCGGCUCAGGCCAGCAUCAGCUCGCUGUCGGGGACAAAAGCUUCGGGAACGUAGCUCUCUUCGGGGAGUGUUAUAGCCUGUUGCACAAUACCCUUCGGCGGGCUGAGGUACGCGCUCCGCAAGGAUGCUGGCAUAAUGGUCAUCAGCGACCCGUCUUGAAACACGGACCAAGGAGUCAACCUUAUGUGCGAGUGUUCGGGUGUCAAACCCCUACGCGUAAUGAAAGUGAACGCAGGUGAGAGCUUCGGCGCAUCAUCGACCGAUCCUGAUGUUCUCGGAUGGAUUUGAGUAAGAGCAUAUAGGGUUGGACCCGAAAGAAGGUGAACUAUGCGUGUAUAGGGUGAAGCCAGAGGAAACUCUGGUGGAGGCUCGCAGCGGUUCUGACGUGCAAAUCGAUCGUCAAAUAUGCGCAUGGGGGCGAAAGACUAAUCGAACCUUCUAGUAGCUGGUUUCCGCC